GACUCGGCGGUUGCACUGUUCAUUUUCCUGUAUGAAUAGAAUUAAUAGUGGUGUGAUGUUGAGGAAGUGGUUACGAUGGCAUCGAUCCCGUCAUGUGCGAGUGGGAGAUGUUGGCAUUCGGUUAAAUCGAAUCGGGUACGCCCAUAAGCGGGUUCGAUCCGACGGAUAUUAUGUUAUUUAAUUUGAUUAGGAUUAAUCUCGCUUUCAAAUUGAAAAGCUAAUUAGAGAUAAAUCUAAUCAUAUUAGGAUAACAAAUAAUAACCGAUUUGGCCUUAUCUCUAACGCUAUUAGGUUUUUGGAAUCCCUUAUAAAUAGACGGGCGAUCCCACAUAAAACGAACGAACAAAAAAAGAGAGAGAAUAAGAAAAUAAUAGAGAGAAACCACAUCCUCCAUUGACCUAUUAUUCUAGAGGGACUUGCACGGUAGAUUUGCGAUCGCGCUCGUUUGUAGUUCGAUCCACCGCGAGUUCGGAGAGUUAGAAGAUUUUCAAAGAAGUUUCAAGGACACGUAAAUCAAUCUAUCCGAUCCGGCUCAAAUCGCUUCCGCAAAAAGGUACGAACCGAUAACUGCCGCUGCGUUCUACAGUUGGAAAGGCUUGAACAGAGAAGGAGAGAGUUGCAAUUCUAUCUGAAUGUUAAGAUAAAGUCAUGUCAUG
This 656-nucleotide long non-coding RNA is filed under the name Ananas comosus (pineapple). RNAcentral's name for it is "long non-coding RNA (ACOM_LNC017146)". The record is from RNAcentral. Lineage: Eukaryota; Viridiplantae; Streptophyta; Magnoliopsida; Poales; Bromeliaceae.